RNAcentral lists this ribosomal RNA (450 nucleotides) under uncultured bacterium. Its description in RNAcentral is "bacterial SSU rRNA". It matches the Rfam family "Bacterial small subunit ribosomal RNA", at positions 355 to 796 of the family's 1533-position model. The record is from RNAcentral.
UGGGGAAUAUUGGGCAAUGGGCGCAAGCCUGACCCAGCGACGCCGCGUGGGUGAUGAAGGCCUUCGGGUCGUAAAGCCCUGUCGGGUGGAAAGAAUGGUGAGACGGCGAAUAGCCGUGUCACGUGACGGUACCACCGAAGGAAGCACCGGCCAAUUCCGUGCCAGCAGCCGCGGUAAGACGGAAGGUGCAAGCGUUGCUCGGAAUCAUUGGGCGUAAAGGGUGCGUAGGCGGCUUGGGAAGUCUGGUGUGAAAGCCCCGGGCUCAGCCCGGGAAGGGCACUAGAAACUGCCAAGCUAGAGUGCCGGAGGGGAGAGUGGAAUUCCUGGUGUAGCGGUGAAAUGCGUAGAGAUCAGGAGGAAUACCGGUGGCGAAAGCGACUCUCUGGACGGCAACUGACGCUGAGGCACGAAAGCGUGGGGAGCAAACAGGAUUAGAUACCCCCGUAGUCC